GNGGGGCUAUACAUGCAAGUCGAACGAGCUCUCCCAAAUUGAUUUUAUGCUUGCAUAAAUGAUUUUUGGAUUCGGAGCGAGUGGCGAACUGGUGAGUAACACGUGGGUAACCUGCCCCAAAGCGGGGGAUAACAUUUGGAAACAAGUGCUAAUACCGCAUAAUUAGUUGGAACCGCAUGGUUCCAACUUGAAAGAUGGCUCUGCUAUCACUUUGGGAUGGACCCGCGCCGUAUUAGUUAGUUGGUGAGAUAAAAGCCCACCAAGACGAUGAUACGUAGCCGACCUGAGAGGGUAAUCGGCCACAUUGGGACUGAGACACGGCCCAGACUCCUACGGGAGGCAGCAGUAGGGAAUCUUCCACAAUGGACGAAAGUCUGAUGGAGCAACGCCGCGUGAGUGAUGAAGGUUUUCGGAUCGUAAAACUCUGUUGUUAAAGAAGAACAAGUGUUAGAGUAACUGUUAACACUUUGACGGUAUUUAACCAGAAAGCCACGGCUAACUACGUGCCAGCAGCCGCGGUAAUACGUAGGUGGCAAGCGUUGUCCGGAUUUAUUGGGCGUAAAGCGAGCGCAGGCGGUUUUGUAAGUCUGCUGUGAAAGCCCUCAGCUUAACUGAGGAAGUGCAGUGGAAACUACAAAACUUGAGUACAGAAGAGGAAAGUGGAACUCCAUGUGUAGCGGUGAAAUGCGUAGAUAUAUGGAAGAACACCAGUGGCGAAGGCGGCUUUCUGGUCUGUUACUGACGCUGAGGCUCGAAAGCAUGGGUAGCGAACAGGAUUAGAUACCCUGGUAGUCCAUGCCGUAAACGAUGAAUACUAGGUGUUGGAGGGUUUCCGCCCUUCAGUGCCGCAGCUAACGCAUUAAGUAUUCCGCCUGGGGAGUACGACCGCAAGGUUGAAACUCAAAGGAAUUGACGGGGGCCCGCACAAGUGGUGGAGCAUGUGGUUUAAUUCGAUGCUACGCGAAGAACCUUACCAGCUCUUGACAUCUUCUGCCAACCCAAGAGAUUGGGCGUUCCCUUCGGGGACAGAAUGACAGGUGGUGCAUGGUUGUCGUCAGCUCGUGUCGUGAGAUGUUUGGGGUUAAGUCCCGCAACNAGNCGGCAAC
Molecule: ribosomal RNA, 1106 nt
Filed under: Apilactobacillus kunkeei
Lineage: Bacteria; Bacillati; Bacillota; Bacilli; Lactobacillales; Lactobacillaceae
Description: bacterial SSU rRNA
Rfam family: Bacterial small subunit ribosomal RNA
Source: RNAcentral